UUUCAUUCAGAAACGCAUCUUCUGGACCUAUUUCAAGAUGUCAUCGAUUCAAGUACUCGGAUGGAACUAUGCCAAAGAUGCAUUUCACGUGUAUUAUGCCGGAAGUAAAAUGCACGGCGCCUCGUGUAUGACAUUUCAAGCUUUGCACGAUGGUUAUGCCAAAGACGCUUGGAAUGUGUAUUAUAUGGGUCAGAGAAUGGAAGGUGUGUCGACGUUGUCAUUUCAAACGUUAGGCCAAGGAAUGGCGAAAGAUGCGUUCAACAGUUACUUUUGUGGUAAUAAAAUAGAACGUUGAUCAACGCGAACGUUUUUUAUGUUUCAUGUUUGCGUACAACAUACUGAAGUGUGCAACGAUGGGAAGCUUUUAAAUAAAGUUUUUCUACAGUUAAUAAA
Long non-coding RNA from Bradysia coprophila, 393 nucleotides. RefSeq lists it as uncharacterized. Lineage: Eukaryota; Metazoa; Arthropoda; Insecta; Diptera; Sciaridae. The record is from RefSeq and is a predicted model, not a curated record.